GCGCAGCAGGCGCGAAAACUUUACAAUGCGGGAAACCGUGAUAAGGGAACCUCGAGUGCUGGCGCAUAGCGUCGGCUGUCCAGAUGCCUAAAAAGCAUCUGAUAGCAAGGGCCGGGCAAGACCGGUGCCAGCCGCCGCGGUAACACCGGCGGGCUCGAGUGGUGGCCACGUUUAUUGGGUCUAAAAGCGGUCCGUAGCCGGCUCGGCAAGUCCCCCUGGGAAAUCUGGCGGCUCAACCGGUCA
RNAcentral lists this ribosomal RNA (243 nucleotides) under uncultured microorganism. RNAcentral describes it as "partial 16S ribosomal RNA". It matches the Rfam family "Archaeal small subunit ribosomal RNA", at positions 330 to 568 of the family's 1478-position model. The record is from RNAcentral.